Molecule: ribosomal RNA, 253 nt
Filed under: uncultured bacterium
Lineage: Bacteria
Description: partial 16S ribosomal RNA
Rfam family: Bacterial small subunit ribosomal RNA
Source: RNAcentral
UACAGAGGUCUCAAGCGUUGUUCGGAUUCAUUGGGCGUAAAGGGUGCGUAGGUGGCGCCGUAAGUCGGGUGUGAAAUCUCGGGGCUUAACUCCGAAACUGCAUUCGAUACUACCGUGCUUGAGGACUGGAGAGGAGACUGGAAUUUACGGUGUAGCGGUGAAAUGCGUAGAUAUCGUAAGGAAGACCAGUGGCGAAGGCGGGUCUCUGGGCCGAAACUGACGCUGAGGAGCGAAAGCGUGGGGAGCAAACAGG